GUAAACGGCGGCCGUAACUAUAACGGUCCUAAGGUAGCGAAAUUCCUUGUCGGGUAAGUUCCGACCUGCACGAAUGGCAUAACGAUGGCCACACUGUCUCCUCCCGAGACUCAGUGAAGUUGAAAUGUUUGUGAUGAUGCAAUCUACCCGCGGCUAGACGGAAAGACCCCAUGAACCUUUACUGCAGCUUUGCAUUGAACUGUGAACCGAUUUGUGUAGGAUAGGUGGGAGGCAGAGAAGAGGCCACGCCAGUGGUCUUGGAGCCGACCUUGAAAUACCACCCUGAUUUGUUUGCGGUUCUAACCACGGACAGUGAUCCUGUCUUGGGACCGUGCAUGGUAGGCAGUUUGACUGGGGCGGUCUCCUCCUAAAGGGUAACGGAGGAGUACGAAGGUACGCUAGGUACGGUCGGAAAUCGUGCUGAUAGUGCAAUGGCAAAAGCGUGCUUGACUGCGAGAGCAACAACUCGAGCAGAUGCGAAAGCAGGUCAUAGUGAUCCGGUGGCUCUGAAUGGAAGGGCCAUCGCUCAACGGAUAAAAGGUACUCUGGGGAUAACAGGCUGAUACCGCCCAAGAGUUCAUAUCGACGGCGGUGUUUGGCACCUCGAUGUCGGCUCAUCUCAUCCUGGGGCUGUAGUCGGUCCCAAGGGUAUGGCUGUUCGCCAUUUAAAGAGGUACGUGAGCUGGGUUUAAAACGUCGUGAGACAGUUUGGUCCCUAUCUGCCGUGGGCGUUGGAAGAUUGACGGGGGCUGCUCCUAGUACGAGAGGACCGGAGUGGACGCACCUCUGGUGUACCGGUUGUCACGCCAGUGGCAUUGCCGGGUAGCUAAGUGCGGAAGAGAUAACCGCUGAAAGCAUCUAAGCGGGAAACUUGCCUGAAGAUGAGUCUUCCCGGAGGUUGAACCUCCCUCAAGAGUCGUCCGAGACCAGGACGUCGAUAGGUCAGGUGUGUAAGCGCUGUAAGGCGUUGAGCUAACUGAUACUAAUUGCUCGUGAGGCUUGAUCCU
This 1007-nucleotide ribosomal RNA is filed under the name human gut metagenome. RNAcentral describes it as "bacterial LSU rRNA". It matches the Rfam family "Bacterial large subunit ribosomal RNA", at positions 1923 to 2925 of the family's 2925-position model. The record is from RNAcentral.